GUGCUUACUUUGGCAGCACAUAUAUUAAAAUUGGAACGAUACAGAGAUUAGCAUGGCCCCUGCGCAAGGAUAACACACAAAUACUGGAAAUCCUGACAGCUGAG
Small nuclear RNA from Ochotona princeps (American pika), 104 nucleotides. The record is from RefSeq and is a predicted model, not a curated record. NCBI's taxonomy places the organism in Eukaryota, Metazoa, Chordata, Mammalia, Lagomorpha, Ochotonidae.